GGGCCCGUAGCUCAGCAUGGACAGAGCACCGGCCUUCUAAGCCGGGGGUCGGGGGUCCGAAUCCCCCCGGGCCCG
Molecule: transfer RNA, 75 nt
Filed under: Nanobdellota archaeon
Lineage: Archaea; Nanobdellati; Nanobdellota
Also listed under: 3 other names
Description: Nanoarchaeota archaeon tRNA-Arg
Rfam family: tRNA
About the family: Transfer RNA (tRNA) molecules are approximately 80 nucleotides in length. Their secondary structure includes four short double-helical elements and three loops (D, anti-codon, and T loops).
Source: RNAcentral